GUCAGGUGUGGUGGCUAUAUAUACCUGUAGUCUCUGUUGUUGGGGACACUGAGGCUAGUGGAUCUUUUGAACUGGAAAGGUCUGAGCUUCAAAAGGGCUAAAGACAUUCAUUUAUCUGCUCUAAGCCUGAUGUCAACAUGAUGAGCCUCUGGGAAGAGAAGGAGGGGCAUCAGGAUGAUUAAGGAGAGGUGGAUUGGCCCAGGUUGGAAACAGAGCAGGUCAAAGCAACUGUGUCAAACAGCAGGGUAAUCAGGCCUGUGUGUAGCCACUGCACUUUUUGCCUGGGUAAGAUAGGGAAACUCAAUCUCA
RNAcentral lists this signal recognition particle RNA (309 nucleotides) under Phascolarctos cinereus (koala). RNAcentral's name for it is "Metazoan signal recognition particle RNA (ENSPCIG00000006313.2)". It matches the Rfam family "Metazoan signal recognition particle RNA". Rfam says of the family: The signal recognition particle (SRP) is a universally conserved ribonucleoprotein. It is involved in the co-translational targeting of proteins to membranes. The record is from RNAcentral. Lineage: Eukaryota; Metazoa; Chordata; Mammalia; Diprotodontia; Phascolarctidae.